AGCCCUGAUGGAAAGCACCUGGCUACUCCUAGCCUUGGCAUGGCUUGUUGCAUUGGUUUUUCUCUCAAAAGUAUCCACUCACAAACGCCUCAAGCUAAAUCAUCCACCAGGACCAAAACCAUGGCCUAUUAUUGGCAACCUGAACCUCCUCGGUUCAAACCCACAUCAAUCCUUACACUUAUUGUCCCAGAAAUAUGGAGAAAUCAUGCAACUAAAAUUUGGUUCCAGCCCUGUUGUAGUAGCUUCAUCCCCUGAAAUGGCAAAAGAAUUCUUGCAAACGCAUGACAACAUUUUCGCCUCUCGGCCUACAACUGCUGCUGCCAAAUACACUAGCUACAACUGCUCCGGCAUGUUAUGGGCACCAUAUGGUCCACACUGGCGACAAGUUCGUAAAAUUUGUCUAACCCAAAUAUUUAGUCCAAAACGACUUGACCGCUACGAGAGCAUGCGCAUUGAGGAAAGGCAUGCUUUCAUGUCUCGUUUGUAUGCUCUCUCAGGAAAGCCAGUACUUUUGAGAGAUCAUCUAAUCCGUUUUACACUCUCCGCUGCAUGCCAAAUGGUUUUGAGUAACAAGUACUUUGCCCAAUCUGAAGGGGAUGGAUCUGUAGUUACCUUUGAAGAACUCCAAGAGAUGAUAGAUACCUGGUUUUUGCUGGGUGGUGUGUUCAAUAUUGGGGAUUGGAUUCCGUGGCUCGACAGAUUUGACCUUCAAGGUUGCGUAAAGCAAAUGAAAGAACUUUACAAGAAAUUUGAUAGAUUCCAUAACCAUGUGCUUGAUGAUCAUCGGGCCAAGAGGAAAACGGAGAAAGAUUUUAUCCCUAAGGACAUGGUGGACAUUCUAUUGCAAUAUGCUGAAGAUCCUGAUCUCCAGGUUAAACUCACCGAAGAUCAGAUGAAAGGGCUAAUUCUGGUGCUAUUUCUUAUCAUUGGUUAAUCAAAUUUCCAGAUCUCUAUACCUCUUUAACUUACUGAAACUUAAAGCUAGCACUUUAGUUUAGCUUACUAUAAUGUGCCAUUAAAUAUAACUGUCUUUUUUCUUUUGAUUAAGAGGUUUUCUGCUUUCAAUAUGUUGUCAAGCAUGAUACUUCAUCAGCAUUUGAUCAUGGCAAGACUAAUUUUACCAAGAUUUGAUCAUGUCCAGGACUUACUGGCUGGUGGUACCGAUACCUCGGCGUCCACAGUAGAAUGGGCAAUGAAUGAACUUCUCAAACAUCCACAUCUCAUUGAAAAGGCAACCGAAGAGCUUGAUAGAGUGAUAGGGAGAGAUAAGUGGGUGGAAGAGGCUGAUUUCUCAAAGCUACCUUUUCUAGAGGCGAUCAUAAAGGAAACCUUUAGGUUACAUCCAAUAGCAACGCUGCUUCCACCCCACCAUGCCAUUGAGGAUGGCACUGUAGCUGGUUAUCACAUUCCUAAAGGAACAGUGGUGUUUAUAAACACACGGAGUAUAGGGAGGAACUCAAAGUAUUGGGAUUCUCCUGAAGAGUUCAUGCCAGAAAGGUAUUUGGAGAAGGAUAUUGACAUGAAGGGACAAAACUUUGCGUUAUUGCCAUUUGGCUCAGGUCGAAGGAGGUGCCCAGGCGAUAACCUUGGACUCAAACUUGUUCGAUCAACGUUGGCCAACUUGUUGCAUGGAUUCAACUGGAAAUUGCCUCAUGGCAUGAAACCAGAAGAAAUUUGCAUGGAAGAACUCUACGGAUUCAUAACUCAUCCAAGGACUCCAGUUGCUAUGAUCCCAGAACCACGUUUGCCGGUCAAUCUCUACUAGAGAUCGUAUGAUUUAAGGGAAAAUUGAAAUGUGUUCCUUGUUGGCAAAAUAAACCAAACCUAAAAAUUGUUAGUGUCAGAUUUUUAGUGGUUGUGUGAUCUAGAAAUUAAUAUUUUAUUUGGUAAUUUCUUAUACAAGUGGUUUCUUUCUCAAUAAGUUUGCUAGGUUAUAAAUAAGACAUUAUUUAGUAUAUUUUUUUAAGAGAGUCCAGAAAGAGUCUGUAAGGUUUUAUUAUGGUAUGAGUUUCUUGCACUAUUUUGAAAUAUCAAUAAUAGUGUGAAUUAUUUAUUUCUUUUGUCUCUCAAAAAUAUGUUAGUGAUUGUUUCAUCCUUUAAUCUAUAACCCUACGCGCAUUAGUUAUUAUUAGAACUUUAAAAUUUGGAAUCUACAAUUGGUAUCACAAGCCCAACACGAGGUUAGUUUUGGAUGUUUCCAUUGUCAGAGAAUUAAGGCAUUUCUGUUGUAAGAGAAUUCAGGCACAAAUUUAUUGAAAAGUAUUUGGUUGACUAAGUUAGACCACAAGGUUGGUCUUGAAGUGCACAGUUGGUGAGAAAUUCAAUCAUAAGAUUGGCUAAAAAAUUAUUAUAUUGUUACAGGUACUAUGACAGAGAUUAGAGAAGAAUCUUAUCAGAGUUGUUGAUUGCUGUGGAUUAUUAGAUUGAAGAAUUUAAUUAGUUAAUCAACCAAUGAGGCCACAAAACUUGAAAAAAGAGGAAAGAAUUCGUUGAUAUACGUGAGUUAUUAAUGAUGCGUGUUUUGAGAUCUAUGUAAUAAUGAAAGGUAUAGCAUACUAACUCCUAAAUAUAAAAGCCAAGAAUCAUAUUAUUGUUGAUUUUUAAGAGUAAAAAAAUAUCUCGAACAUUGCAAUUUAGAUAAUUUUCUUGAUGGAUUGUUACAAAUGAAUUACCAAAACAUGUUGUCAAGAGGAAUGCUAGAUUAUUUUUUCAAGUUAUGUGAAAAACAAUGUUUGACUGUACUUCAAAAUAUUUGUUCAUCGUACUAAAAUUUAUUUUGGAAGAAUAUUUAUUACGUUUUGAAAACUGUUGAAUUGAAUGAUGCUUUUAAAUCAAAAUUUGGUUAUUGGACAUGGUUAGUUGAUUUUGAGAGUGAUAGAUUUGUAGAUGACAUGGGUGAUUUAGAAGAUUUUGAAUGGGUUGAUAGUUUAGAUUUGCAUACCAUAUUUGGAGAAAUUGGGAGUGAUGAUUUUGUUGAAAAAAAUGUGUUAAUUUGACAAAGAAAGAAGAAAAUUUUGAUUUGAUAAGACAAGAAGAAGAUGAAAUUGCUAUUGAAAAAUUUGUUAGUUUGGACUUUCUUCAAGAUGAUGGUAAGAUGUUUGAUUUGAUAGAUAUGGAUUUAUUGGAGUUGAAAAAUAUUUUACUUCUAAAGAAUUGAUUGACAUUGUGAACUUUUUUUGGUAAUUGUGGUAGUGGAAUUCUUGAAUUGUUUGGUGAUGAUCAUUUUGAUAAAAAUGCAAACUAUGAUUUUGUAUUCUUAGGCACUUACGUUGGUAGUAAAUAUGGUAACUCUUGUGAUGAAUGGCUUUGUAUGAAUAAGUACUUUGAUCCAAAGGAAAUUAUUUGCAAAAUACAAAGUGCAAUUCACUGUCACGAGUAAAGAUGAAAUAAAAAUCGGCAACAAGAUAGAGUUGCAUAUCAAUUAUAAUAUGACAUAGAUUUGCAUGGAGACUGUUGCUCUAGAUAGAGUUGAACCUAUCUCAAUGAAGAGUUUGGUUUAAGAGAGGCAAUGUUAACAAAAUAAGCCAAGCCUAAACUUUUCUACUUAUUUAUUUACUAAUUUUAUUGGCAUCAGAUUUUCAGUAGUUGUAUGAUUUAAAAAUUUGUGUUUUAUUUGGUAACUAGUUUUGUACCCGUUCGUUGAACGGGAAUCGUCGAAAAAUAAUAAACUUUAGUCAAUUUAUAAAAAUGUCGAUAUAAAAUACAUAUUUAAUAUAUAAUCUAUUAUAACUUGUCUUAAGUAUAUUACUAUGUGCGCAUUGUAAUGUAAAGUAUUCUUAUAAUAUAAAUUUGAACAUCUAAUUCAGUGAAUAAUAAUUCAAAAAUAGAAAAAAUAACAUUCAACAAUACCAUAACAUUCAAAAACUUGAAAAUAAAUAAAAAGUGCAGUAAAUAGUAUCAAAUAAUAUUCUACUAUUCAAAAACUUGUUUUUGUUUUUUUCUGUUUGAACAUUCUCCUCGAUUUGUCCGUGUAAAUCAGCAUUUAUUGAUUUUCUAUUAUCACUGCAUGAUAGCAAAGUAGGAUAACUAAGUAUAAAAAAAAUAAAUGAUUUAUCGCAUUCAAGUUUGUGUAUAACAAUAUGUAAAGAUUAUAAUUAAGUAAAUGGCCAGAGUCUUUUAAUUAACUAAUGAAUUUGCAGAUAUAUCUAAUAGAGAUAUUUAUGUCUCUUGUAUUUAUAUCGCAUUACUUUCCAGUGCCUUUUGUUUUUUGUUAUUUUUUCUGAAGGCAAAUUAACAAACAUCGUAGUAUAUGAUCACAAAAAUCAAUUAACAAACACGUUAGAAAAAAUCCUACAAAAAUAACGAUGAAAGUACUUGUUUAAAUCCUAUGUCUUCAUACAAAAUAAAUAGAAAAUAAAACAAAAAAAAAUUCAAGAUAUGUUACUAAGCUCUUACAAUUGAAGAUCAACAUGCCUUUUUAAAAAAUAUAUAUAUAUAUAUAUAUUGAAAGAAAAUGUACCUGAUAAUCAAGAGGAGUGGAAACCCAAAAUCGAUACUUUAAUAUGCCAACCACUUGCACUGGAAAUACCUAACCAUGAAUUUGAUGCUUGAAAUCAAUAUAUUAGAGGCUAUAUGUAGUGUAGACAUAGGAAAUAAGAAUUGAUAAGAAUAUAAAGAAAUAUUGAUAAGAACAUUAAAAGUAUGUUUAUCUUAAUUUAAGUUGCUUAAAGUACGUAACUUUGGGUAGGAAAUAAGAAUCUUAUAAUAUUAAGAAUUCUUAUAGGAAAUAAAACCAUAAUCGUCCAAAUAACUUUGGGUAGGAAAUAAGACCUUAUGUGACCCGUACUAUGCACGUAUAUAAACCUGUACGUAAUAAAUUUACAAAUGCGUUAUGAAGAUAGAUUUUACCGACCUUAAAAUACCACCUCCACUAUAUCGAGUCCUUUAAGUGCAUGAACUCCUAUGGUAUGGGUCCACACACGAAAUACUCCCCACCAUUUGGGCAGAGAUGUAUUGUGAUUAAAGAAUUAUUAGCAGAAAUAUAUUAAAAAAAAAAGACGGGCGGAGGACACUACGGACGGAGGCCUUUCUCUUGGAUUGGAGGACACUACGGACGAAGGGUCGGGUAGGGGCCUUCGGGGUGCAAAACUCCAACAAAUAUCUAAUGUUUUUUCUCAUCUUUCUUUAGCUAUGAUAAUGGGAUUUUAUUUCUUUGGUUGAUGACACUCCAUUUUCUUUAUGGACUUUUCCAGAAUUUUUCAAUCAGAUAAAGUGCCAUUUCUCUUUGUACAUCAAUUAUGCAUGGGGACUGUGAGUCUUGUAAAAACUUUCUCGGGUUAAUUUUGUUUAAUUUCCAUGUCUAGAUUGUUUGUAUGUUGUUCUAUAUAUGGGUAGAUUAUCUUAAAAUAAAAAGGAUCCAUGAUGAAGCUGUUAAAAAAAAAAAGAAUAGGACACUAUAAAAAAAUAUAUUAUCAUUUAUUCCUAUAUAUCUAAUAGAGGAGAUUUAUGUCUCUUUUAUUUAUAUCGCAUUGCUUUCCAGUUCCUUUUUUGGGUAGGAAAUAAGAAUCAUAUAAUAUUAAGAAUUUUUAUAGGAAAUAAGAAUUGAUAUAUAUCCAAACAAAAAAGGAGCAAUCCACGUAGGAAACUACUUGCCGUCUCGUUAAGCCACGUAGGAAAGAGAAAAUAUGAAGGGAUAAGUAUGAGGAUACGACUUUAUUAUAUAUAUAUAUAUAUGAUUUCUUAUGCUAGUAAUUUCUUAAUUAACAAGUUUCCUAUAUAUAUAUAUAUAUAUAUAUAUAUAUAUAAAGGAGUUGUUGUGUGGCUGUUGGUUAAUUUUCAUCUAACCAUUUUGAGGGGUACAUUAGGCAUUUCAAUACCAGUGUACAAGUCAUUAAUGUUAGGGUACUAGCAUUCUAGGUGUAUUGGUAUGUACAUUACCCAACCUAUCCUUAGUGGCUUGAUGCUUCCACUCUGUCGAUGCUUAGUUAUAAAUAGGACAUUAUUUAGAGUGUUUUCUCCAGAGAGUCCGAGUCUGUGAAGUUUAUUAUGGUGUGACUUUCUUUCAUUGUUUUGAGAUAUCAAUAAUAGUGUGAAUUAUUUAUUUCUCUCCUCUCCUAUAAAUAUUUGAGUGAUUGUUUCAUCUUUCAAUCUAUGACUUUAUAUGCAUUAAUUAUUCUUAGAAUUCUAACAUUUGGGUUCUACAUUCCUACACUGUAUCACUCAAUGGUUGAACUCAUUCUCUGCUCUCCAAUUGUAUCAUGCCCUUGUAAUCGCUUAGCCCAUUGAAAGUGAUAGUGAUCGACAAAUUCCUACAAGUACAUAGGGGUCAAUCAGAGUAAUAAUUCACCUAAAAUAUUUUAGGGGUUGAAUCCACAUAGAUGAGUCAAUUUUCUACUUUAAUUAUCGUAACAAAAUAAUGAAACUUAAAUUCAAAGGAUUUUUAAUUACUAAUCAAGAAAUUGAAUAAAUAAUCAAAUCAAAUAAGAUAUAGGUGAGAAAAUAAUUGGCAAAAGACUAGGGUUCAGGUUUUAAUCCAUAUUUUGAAUUAUUUAUCUAGUUAAUUUCUUAACAUGCCAAGAAUAUAUCAUGCAAAAGUUUUAUAGAUUACCUUUUGAUACAUCCAAAUUGCGUCCAAUUAAAUUUCAUGUCUCUCCCAAAAUUAUAAAUAUUUAAUUAAAAGAGGUUUCUGACAAUUUCACUCGCAUCCCUCAGAUUUGAAUAAUUACACUAACCUCUCUUCAUAUAGCUAAAUGACUACAAUAUUCUUCACUUAUAAAUAAUUCAUACAAACAAAAAAAAAAUACCCUAGAACUACAACUAGUUUUUCAUUCUAAAGCAACAGUUGCCACAUAAAACAACUUUUAUUCUCUCUCUCCGACCCUUUCUCCUACUUUCUUUCUCCUGCAUCUCAUAGUUCACUAUUUUUUCGCAACUGCCAUCUACACAACCAUUUAAUAUAUCUCGAAUCCUUAUUAUUAUGGAAAUAGAUCCUCUUUCUUUUUUUUGUAAGUAUUAUUGAAUUAAAAUUGCCAAAUGACAGUUAUCGGAUUUGAUUUGUUGUUAAACUAAAUGAAGAUGAAAAGGAUGAUGGUGAUACAGAAUGCAGACAAGAAAAUAAAACUAAUGGCUAAAAAGGAAACAUGAAUUGAGGAAGAUUGUGUUAUUAUGUCAAUUGUGUAAAAAAGAAUUUUGGGAUAAAAAUUGCAAUUGAAUUUGCCUAGAGACAUGGGAUGUUUUUUCUAGUGUUGCUUUUGGUUGCUCCGUGUUGGUUUUCUUAGUGGGUUUGAUUAUUUUAGCAUCAACGAAGUUGCAACAUUUUGGAUUGAGUUUGGAUAGUGACAUUGGUCAAUUCAAGCACUGAAUUUAGACCCCAAAAAAAAUGAGGUUAAAGAUUAGGUUGAAUGCAAACUUUUAUUGUCAUAAUUGAUUUGUAUGGGAAGUUUUGGGACAGCAAUGGUAGGCUGUCAAAAUUGUGAGAAUAUGGGGAUUAAACUGAAGUGGUUUAUUGAAGUUGUUAUGGUGGUGGUUAUGUUGCUUACAAUAGUUGUAACGUGGAAGAAAUUUAUUAGUGUGUUUUUCCCCUUCUAAGUAAUAAAGGGGUAUUUUAGGAUUUUUAAGAACAAAUUUAGUAUAUUGAGUCUAUAUUGUUACUGAAAUGUUAAUCAUAGGGGAGGUAGGUGUAAUUUUUUAAACUAGAGGGGAGCUUCCUGCAAUAAUAAAAAAUCUCAAGGGAGGUUUCUGAAAUUAUCCCGUAAUUAGGUUAAGCAUAUUUAUCUAUCUAAUACAUGAUUAUAUAUCUCUUCUCAGUUCAAUACAAAUCCUAAAACAUGUCUAUGGUGGCUAAUCACAAAUAUGUAAUUAAGACAAGAUAAAUAAAUCAAGAUAAAAGUCAAGAAUUUAACUAGAAUAAAUAAUCAAUUCUCUUCAAAAAUUCCUAACCCUAGAAGUAAAUUAGUUCAUCAUAAUUGUAAGAAUAAACAAGAAUUCAAUAUUGAAAAUACAAGACGUGGAAUAAAGCGUAAGAAAAGUUUCUUACCGACUCCAGAUCCCGUGUCUUGAUUGUCAAUCUCGAUUCUUCAAUUCCUAAAGAAAGCCAUAGAACUAAUGUUUUGACAAGUGUUUUAUCUCCUAAAAAUGUUCUAAGUACUCCCAUUUAUAGUUUUCUAUAAUCUCUGUUGAAUCUCGAAAGGAAUACGCUUCUUGAAAUUGAAGAAAACGAGCCCCGCAUAGUUUUUUUAUGACAUCCGGUGACAAGUCAAUUUCAAGAUCAAAUUUCCACGCGUUUGGAAUACAUUUCCUCCUCGAUCUCACUUUUUUGCAAGUUAGGAUCCAAUUAAAGCACAAAAAGGCAUAAUCAACCAAUAAUUUACAUGUGUAACAUUGCUAAAAUCCACACCCUACUAGAGAGCUUGGGAGUUGGGACAGUAAAUUUCACCUAAGAAAACAUUAAAGAGACAAUAUUCCUUUUGGGGAUUUCUAUUGUGAAACAAAAUAAAAGUCGCAACCAAACUUUUGUCUUUCUUUAAAUUGCUUUUGGUGAAUUCUAUAUUAUGAAACAAAACGAAAGUCACAAUCAAAAUUUUUUUUUGCUACAAAACGAAAGCCAAAAUAUCACAAUUAUAACAUGUGGAAGAUUUCACAUGGAAAUAUUGAAGAUUGAAGAGAGAGAUAAAAAAAAAAAAUAGCUCCCUUGUUGCUUGUUAGCAAUGAAAAUAGGUACAUAACGGAAUUAAAUGUCCUACCUAUACUAAAAGCAGGAGCUUACAAUUGAGGUUGGAAUUGGGUUGACUUGAUUGUCACUUUAUUUGCAUGUGCUCCUUUUGUCUGGUAAAUAGGGAUCUUAAUCAUAUAAGUCAUAAGAUCAGUGUGCAUCGCUAGACUUCAUCGAAGAUCAGAAAUUUUGGAUUUCUCCGUGUUAGUUUGUACUGAUUGUAUAGUUCCCUCAAGUCUUUACUUAAAAUUGUAAAAAUUUUAUCUAUAAAAUCCGGUAUCGUUUCGAUAAAAAAAAAGAAAAAAAGAUUGUCCCUUUAUUCCAAAGCUGAUUGCACCAUUUUUGAGGUAGCAAUUGUUGUAAUUUUGAGCAACUUCAGUGGCAAUUGAUAACAUCGACAUACGUCAUCUUGGUCUCUUUUUCCGCUUCCAUUAAAACUCUGACGGAACCGACUGAUACGGCAGAAAGUAGCCAUUGUUCCAAUUACACAUCCAUUUUCAUGCUUAAUCCCUCUCACCCCUCUCAAUUUUGCUUUCUACAUAAAUUUUUUUUUUCCCAUCAACUUUUUUAAGUUUUUUUUUUUGAUGGAGUUUUGUUUCAGUACGUUUUUGUUAACUAAUUUGUAAGUUUUUUUUUUUAAUGAACUGUGAAUUCUCGCAAAAUUGAAACUCUGGACAAAUGGAAGGAAGGGAUAUGCUAAUCAGGUUUAAGUCAAUCAAUUUGCCUUGCAAUUGUCCAAAGUAUUAAAGAAUUUAAUGCGGUUUCUUAUAGUCCAAUUAAGUUGUGCUGAUAUGAUGAUGACAUAAAGUACUCUGGACCUGGAGUAUAAUUUUUUUAAAUUUGACUUUGCACCAUAAAGUUUAGUUAAUGACAAUUUAGUACAUAAAACUUCUAUUUCAUGCUACAAGCGCCUACAAUCCAAUUCAUAACUGUAUGCUAAUGAUGGUUGAACAUAUAUAAGUUACACAUUUGAGAAGCAAAAUUAUCCUAGUCUCUUUAGCAUUGAUGAAUUAGUGUUUAAUUAUGGCAUUUCAAUUUAACCGUUGACAAGUAAUUGUGUGACAAGUCCCUGAAAAAUGAUUGUCAAUAUGAGAUAGAGAUAGAGAUAAAAGUAGGAUGUAUCUAAUUUUACAUUUCUCUUAUCAGAAUUGUUGAAGAGUCUGGAAAAUAUUCCAAUAACAACAGUCUCUAAUCCAUGAAAAAAAAAAUAAUCUUAUUCAUCAAAGUCAUGAUUUUGAUAUCCUUCAACGAAAGUAACACAGACUUGCUUCUUUUUUUUUUUUUUGAGAUUGAUGGAAGGAAAAGAAAUAAUCAAGACUUCAAUAAUGGAAAGGGAAACAAGAAUAACGCUAGGCAAGACGGCAUGGAUUUCAAAUGUUUUUUUUUUCCAGCGUUCAAUUCCCCUGGAGUCUCAAUAUUUGGAUUGUAGGUUUUUUAAGAAAAAAUUUUUACAUUUUUCAUGAACACAUUUUUUAAUUAUUUUAUUAUUUUAUAUAUAUCAAAUUAUUAUAAUAUUUUUUUUACAAAAAAUUUUAAAAAAUAACAAUCUAAACGCAAUUGCAGCACUAGUGCUUAGCAAGCUUGAAACAACCCUCUCGAAUUAAGGUGUGAUCAUUUUGACCAAAAAAAAAAAAUUAAGGUGUGAUAAUGCUGCACGUCAUCUACGAUUUUUCAGAUUCCUACUUCUUCUAUAUUUUGACAAACGGCAUGUCUGUGUCUAGCAAGAAGUGUGAUAGUGCUGUACGGCAUCAACAAUUUUUUAGAUUCCUACAACUUCAAUACUUUGACGGGAUAAUUUUAAAAAACCUCCCUUGAGAUUUUGAUAAUUUUACUCUGCUCUCCUCAAUUUUAAAUAAUUAUGCUUACCUCCCUUGACAUAAUAAAGUACUUAUAAUGACCUUCACUUAAUAGACAAUUCACAGUAUAAUACAAUAUAUUUGUAAAACCAAAAAAAAAAUCAUAUUUAUCUAUGUCUUGGCUAGCUCUACUCUUCUCUUUUCUAGUUAUUAUACUGUCAUAUUCUCUCUUUUUUUCUUCAGUUUUAUAGAUAUUACCAAAUUGAAAUUGUAAAAUUAGUAGUUCAAUUGAAAUGACAAGACUCGGAGUCAUAGAGAAAAAAAAUAAUGAAAUUAAUGAUUGAAACAGGUUGGAGGAUCAAAGAUGAAAAAUUUACCAUAUAUUUUUUUUCUGUGGCAAGCAUUGAUGAUCCUUUGGAUAGUUGCUUUGAUUUGGAACUAGAGUUUUUACUUAGGUGGUUGUUAUGAAUUGGGAUGGUGGAUUUGUGCAGAGUGUGAAAGAAAAGGAUCGAGUAUACUGUAUUUUUUUUUUUUACUUUUGUAUUAAAGGGUAAUUUAGGAUUUUUGAGAAAAAAUCUAGUUUGUCGGACUUAUAUUAUUAUAUAAACAAUAAAAAUAAGGAGUUAUAUGUAAUUUUUAAAAUUAAAGAGAGCUCUUGCAAUUAUGAAAAAUGUUAAGGAAGGUUCAUGAAAUUAUCCCAUACUUUGACAAAAGACGUGUCAAUGUCCGGCAAGACGUGUUAUAAUGCUGCACGCAUCAAUGAUUUUUCACAGCCCUACGACUUCAAGACUUUGACAAAAGACAUGUCUGUGUCUGGCAAGAAGUGACAUAAUAUAAUAAAGAGCAAAUUUUCCAAAUAGUCCUUCAACUUUUUAACUAAUUCACAUUUGGUCCUUCAUCUUAAAAAUGAGAUAGAAUGAUCCUUCAACAAAAUUUUUUAGACCAAAUUGGUUCUUAUAUGGCAUAGCAGCCAAGAAAAAGUUGGAUCAAAGUGGUGAUGAGAUUUGAAUUUUCUUACCUGUUCCGUCACAUAGGGACCAAUUAAGCCUAAAAAAUUUCGUUGGACAGCCAUUAUGUCCCAUUCUUAAGAUGAAGGAUCAAAUAUGAAUUAGUAAAACAUUUGAAUGACUAUUUGGGGGACUUGCUCCAUAAUAAAAUUGAAAAGCUGGGAUGUUUGGAAAAUAUUUAGAGGCUUGUAGCAAAGUGUGUUAAUGGGAAAAAAAUGAUUUGAUGGGCAUACCCAUGAGAUAAUCUUGACCUAUUGAACUUGAAGAGGACACGGCUGCUGUGGAAAUUAUAAGUACAAAGACAAUUCGUGGUUUCUGAGCUACAGCAAUGAGUGAUAUUUUUAGGAACAUCUGUUGGGGUUUUUGAUAAUUAUGUAGUAUUCUUAAACUUCUAAAAAUAUCACUUACCUCUCUCAUUUGAAGUCAACAUCACAAGUCACCAAUAUUUUUACCCUCAAUACUAUAGGUUUAUUCUGGAAAAAUACUUUCCAACCAAAAGAAUUGGCAUGAUUUUCUUCUUUUGCUUUUUUUUUUUUUUUGAAUUUUGGCCUGUUUUAAUGAAAAUGUCGCAUAUAUUAGUCCCAAUUCAGGAGCUUAUAUUUUUGGGUGUAAUUCUUUUAUGCCAGUUUACCUACCACAUUCCCCGCAUUAAUUUCACUGCCUUCAUAUUAUUGGAAGAGGUUGUAUUUUCAAUACCGAAGUAGAGCCUGUUUUAGGGUUUUUUUCCUCCGCUCUCAAUUUUUUUUCUUAGUUUUGGCUCUCAAAAUUUCUGGUUCUGGCCUUGCAAUUAGAACCACUUUUUUUUUUUUUACUAAUAUUGAAAGAUUUGGUGAAUCGGAUGACUUCCCACUUGAAUUUCAAGUGACCAAUCUAGUUUUCUCUAUUUCUUGACUUUAUAUUUUAGAAUAUGUUCAUCAAUGUUUCAAUUCUUUUCAUCUCAACUCUCUCCAUAUGCAUUUCGAGCAACAUAAGUAUCCGUUCCGAUUUCAACAAUAAUGUGCUUAAUAGUUGUUAUAUAUUGUUAUAUUUAGUUGCAUUACAAUAACAAACACUACACAAAAUUUUCUUGGAUUUUAAAUCUUUUAUUAAUACUAAUAAGGAUUUUGGAUAAUGAAGGAACAAGACAACUGAAAGGGCAAUUUUGAAAUAAAAAUAUGCUCAUUUUACUUAAAUGAAUCAUUUAAUCUUACUUUGCUUCUAGUUAGGGGUGGUAGAUGAAUCGAGUUACUCGCAAGGAAUUUAGUCAAAGCUCUACUCGAACUCGAGUUUGACUGAUAUUCGAGUCAAUUAUUGAAUCGAAUUCAAGCAUCUAGGUAAUUGUUAAAUUACCUAAAAACCUAUAUUUUUAGAAAAAAUUGUCUUACCACUCAAGCUGGAAUUUGAUCUUAAUUUGCUUCUUGAGCACCUUUAUCUUUCACAUGAGCCGAACUUGACCUUCAAAGUUGAUGAGCUCAAACUGAGUUUGAGCUCAAGUAAUGUCUUCAAGCUCAUCGAGCUCUAGCUUGAAUACAUUCUGUAUUUGAGUUUGACUCCGUUCAUUGCCAUUCCUAUCCUAGUCAUUGGACAUGUUACAAAAUAAUUUAUUUUGGGGAGGUUAAUGAGAUUUUCAAAAGUUUAGAAGUUCCAAGCGGUAUUCACAAACACCUUAGGGAAGGUUUUCGAAAUUAUCCGAAGAAUCAAUUCAAAGCCAAUUAAUGGAUGUGGCACAGAUUAACCUUAUCAAUCAUGACCGUGUGCAUAAAGCCCCCACUGGAGAUCGGCAUUCAAACACCCAGUGGAGUUCAUUGCCAUGCUAACUUAUUUCAGCCCUGAUGGAGACUUGGCUGCCCUUAGCCUUGGCAUGGGUUGUUGCAUUGGCUUUUCUCUCAAAAGUAUCCACUCGCAAACGCCUAAAGCUAAAUCAUCCACCAGGACCAAAACCAUGGCCUAUUGUUGGCAACUUGAAACUCCUAGGUUCAAUCCCACAUCAAUCCUUACACUUGCUGUCCCAGAAAUAUGGAGAAAUCAUGCAACUAAAAUUUGGUUCCAGCCCUGUUGUAGUAGCUUCAUCCCCUGAAAUGGCAAAAGAAUUCUUGCAAACACAUGACAACAUCUUCGCUUCUCGGCCUACAACUGCUGCUGGCAAAUACACUAGCUAUAACUGCUCCGAUUUGACAUGGGCAC
RNAcentral lists this long non-coding RNA (13616 nucleotides) under Coffea arabica (coffee). Its description in RNAcentral is "long non-coding RNA (CARA_LNC006494)". The record is from RNAcentral. Lineage: Eukaryota; Viridiplantae; Streptophyta; Magnoliopsida; Gentianales; Rubiaceae.